UACGUAGGUGGCAAGCGUUGUCCGGAAUUACUGGGCGUAAAGAGCGCGCAGGCGGCUGGUCAAGUCCGAUGUGAAAGCUCCCGGCUUAACUGGGAAAUUGCAUCGGAAACUGAUCGGCUUGAAGGUGGGAGAGGGUAGUGGAAUUCCCGGUGUAGUGGUGAAAUGCGUAGAUAUCGGGAGGAACACCAGUGGCGAAGGCGACUACCUGGCCCACUCUUGACGCUGAGGCGCGAAAGCCAGGGGAGCAAACGGG
RNAcentral lists this ribosomal RNA (253 nucleotides) under uncultured bacterium. RNAcentral describes it as "partial 16S ribosomal RNA". It matches the Rfam family "Bacterial small subunit ribosomal RNA", at positions 524 to 776 of the family's 1533-position model. The record is from RNAcentral.